GAUGAACGCUAGCUACAGGCUUAACACAUGCAAGUCGAGGGGAGUGGCGAACGGGUGAGUAAUGUAUCGGAACGUGCCCAGUAGCGGGGGAUAACUACGCGAAAGCGUAGCUAAUACCGCAUACUAUUGGAGCGGCCGAUAUGGGAUUAGCUAGUUGGUGGGGUAACGGCUCACCCAGGCGACGAUCCGUAGCUGGUUUGAGAGGACGACCAGCCACACUGGGACUGAGACAAGGCCCAGACUCCUACGGGAGGCAGCAGUGGGGAAUUUUGGACAAGGGGGGAAACCCUGAUCCAGCCAUCCCGCGUGUGCGAUGAAGGCCUUCGGGUUGUAAAGCACUUUUAGCAGGAAAGCGGUACCUGCAGAAUAAGCACCGGCUAACUACGUGCCAGCAGCCGCGGUAAUAC
RNAcentral lists this ribosomal RNA (407 nucleotides) under uncultured bacterium. RNAcentral's name for it is "partial 16S ribosomal RNA". It matches the Rfam family "Bacterial small subunit ribosomal RNA", at positions 28 to 526 of the family's 1533-position model. The record is from RNAcentral.